UGCAAAGCGCACUGACUUCGCCCUCGCUGCGUAAGCGAGCCUGAAGUCCGUCAGACCGUAGGCGUUCCCGCUACGGACCCUGGCGUCAUCUAGGGAACUUGCUGCGUGACGGCGUCUGGACGUCACGUGGGACUCUUCCCAGGCUGGGCUCGUCGACUUGGGUGUCUGUGACAAAGGUCGGAGCCGAGCAGAACGUCUGCACAGACUGCACCCGGAGAAGGCGCAGAGACCCAGCGAUGGACGGGGGUUCGAUUCCCCCCAUCUCCACCA
This 270-nucleotide transfer-messenger RNA is filed under the name Microbacterium sp. Its description in RNAcentral is "partial transfer-messenger RNA". It matches the Rfam family "transfer-messenger RNA", at positions 92 to 374 of the family's 374-position model. Rfam says of the family: Bacterial tmRNA, also known as 10Sa RNA or SsrA, is named for its dual tRNA and mRNA-like properties. Its role is to liberate the mRNA from a stalled ribosome. Lineage: Bacteria; Bacillati; Actinomycetota; Actinomycetes; Micrococcales; Microbacteriaceae. The record is from RNAcentral.